Long non-coding RNA from Dreissena polymorpha, 1927 nucleotides. RefSeq lists it as uncharacterized. The transcript has 4 exons. The record is from RefSeq and is a predicted model, not a curated record. NCBI's taxonomy places the organism in Eukaryota, Metazoa, Mollusca, Bivalvia, Myida, Dreissenidae.
CACAUGAUUACUUGCCUUAAGUAAAGGACAUUCUAAUGAUGAAUAGAAUGACAUCCUGUUGAUGCAACUAGAGUUUCACUUUGUUCAUAUUUUAUUUACCAGGACAACUUGUCAAUCAACAAGGAACCCUACCCUGAUAAUCACGCCCAGCUAAUGAACUGUGUUACUGCGCCAAACGUGACGCUUUAGAGAAAAGAGCUUUCAGGUCGAAGGUCAAAUUGGUACCGAUAUGGGCUCCAGCAGCAGCCUCAGUCGUUGGGGCAGGUCAUGAUGCAUGCAUUAUCUCAAUUAUCUUUGAACAUUCCAAACUCACAGUAAUAGUACACAAACAUGACCUGCAUGGUGGAGAUGUGAAUAAAAUGAGUAUUAAAUCCCAAAAACCAAGGAGAGGUUAUAUAGGAAUCUAUUUUCUUGUCAAGCGGAAUCCUAGCAACCAAGCCACAUCAGCACAGCAACAAAACAGUUUCAGCAGCAGUUGUAUACAAAACAUCAACAACAGUGGUGCAUAUGCAUUAAACUACGAGCGGAAACCUGGAAAGCAAAGCGUUGAGUUUGUUCUGGAAGCAUUUGCAGUCACAGCAAAUGAACCGACAGCAGUCAUCGUCUCGAGAUUCUGGCAUAUAUAUGGCGCCGGGCCCUAAGUCUAUGAAAAUCAUGCAGCGAUAUCUAUGGAUGCCAAUUGACGAAAUAAAACUGGCCAAUCAGAAACACAGCCUGUUGCAGUAGUUUUUACCAUAUUGACUCCAGUCAAACAUGAGAAGCUCAGAGAUCAAUACUGUUUAAGAUGUGCUAUUCUCUACAUACCUGGUGGUCUGUUAAGCAUUAACUCUGACAGGUCUCAUCUUUGAAUUGUGUGAAGGGUGAAAAAUUGAAAAAUGAAUGUUCAGAAUAAAGUGCCACAAUGAUUAAGCGCACCAUUUCAGGUGGAAAGCCAUAAAUAAAUGUGCCCAAUCAAGCUGUGUUCAAAGUCAAACACUAUGUCAUGUCUUAUGGAAACGUUAAUGCUGUCAGUCAUUUACAAUUGAACAUUUGUGUUAAAUGUAGUUAAAUAUAAUAAGAUUAAUGCUACUUAAAUGGUAAAGGCGUGCAUGUUAAGUAUUACUUUAAGCACACAUAUUGUACGUCUAUUCAAUCACUGUGUUUGUAUUAUGAAACUUGCACCUGAUUGUGGUAAAUUAAUGGAUUUUUUUUUGUCAUACAUCGAGUGUAAUAUAAGUCAAAGCUGUUUACUUGAUGCUGGUAACUUGAACGAAAUAAAAAAAAUAUGUAUGUUAUCCUGUUCAUGUUAUAAGCAUGUUUCAGUUUUCUGUUUUUACAUGCCAUAUAGAAGUGCUAUUUAAAAUGUCUGUUAAGAAAGGUUGAGAAUUAUUACGCUUCCGCUUAUAAAUCUUUUAGUAAUUUAGAAACAUAUUUAGUUUGCUCAUUUGGGCCAAUAUUUAAUCAAUAAUGGUGUUAAGUAUGGCAAUAUUUGAAAUGAAUAUCAAUUAAAUUUAAACACAAUUAUAUAAUCUUGUUUAAGUUGUCAAUUCUGUAUUUACUACAAUUACUAUUAUUUAUUUGAAUUGAGAUGGUUUGUUAAAUUAUAAGAUAAUGACUUUUAUUUGGAAUGCUUUCACUGUUUUGAAACUGUUUUUUAAAUAAAUGAUUAAAAGAAUUAUGCUAAGCUUCAUGAAUAAUGGCAAAAGUUAUGCUUAUUUUUGCCUAUUGUGUCUUGUUAUAUAAUAUACUUACAUGCACACAAGUGUUGACAUUUGUUUUCGGACAUAAUAAUUGUUUUAUGUUUUACAUGCGUGUAUAUACACAUUUAGAAGACCAGAUUUUAAUCCUCUCAAAUCACUGAGUAACUUUACCAUCAAUUAAUGUUUUAUCACUGCAUAUAGAUACAUUUUGCAAUUGAUAUAUAGUGCAACUGCAAAACAAUUGUAUG